AGCUCCAAUAGCGUAUAUUAAAGUUGUUGCAGUUAAAAAGCUCGUAGUUGAACUUCUGGCUGUUGCGUUCGCCGGCUUCGGUCGCGUCCGUAGCGGUCAUCCGCUUGGGAACUCCAUUCGAACUUUACUGUUCGGUGGAAGGAACAGGCAUUUUACUUUGAAAAAAUUAGAGUGUUCAAGGCAGGCUAUCGCCCUGAAUACACAAGCAUGGAAUAAUGAAAUAGGACUUUUUCCAUUUUAUUGGUUAUUGGAAUUAGUAAUGAUUAAUAGGGACAGUUGGGGGCAUUAGUAUUUAAUAGUCAGAGGUGAAAUUCUUGGAUUUAUUAAAGACUAACUUAUGCGAAAGCAUUUGCCAAGGAUGUUUUCAUUA
RNAcentral lists this ribosomal RNA (370 nucleotides) under Askenasia sp. Its description in RNAcentral is "partial small subunit ribosomal RNA". It matches the Rfam family "Eukaryotic small subunit ribosomal RNA", at positions 587 to 975 of the family's 1831-position model. The record is from RNAcentral. Lineage: Eukaryota; Ciliophora; Litostomatea; Cyclotrichida; Mesodiniidae.